RNAcentral lists this transfer RNA (87 nucleotides) under Candidatus Woesearchaeota archaeon. RNAcentral's name for it is "tRNA-Gly". It matches the Rfam family "tRNA". From Rfam's summary of the family: Transfer RNA (tRNA) molecules are approximately 80 nucleotides in length. Their secondary structure includes four short double-helical elements and three loops (D, anti-codon, and T loops). Lineage: Archaea; Nanobdellati; Candidatus Woesearchaeota. The record is from RNAcentral.
GGGCCCGUGGUCUAGUCCGGUACACGCGGAAACAAAGUUCCCGCCUUUGAAAGGUGUAAGUCACCAGUUCAAAUCUGGUCGGGCCCA